AUGUCGCACCGCAAGUUCGAGCACCCGAGGCACGGUUCCCUCGGCUUCCUCCCCAGGAAGCGCUGCUCUCGCCACCGCGGAAAGGUGAAGUCCUUCCCCAAGGAUGACCAACAGAAGCCUUGCCACCUCACUGCCUUUCUGGGCUACAAGGCUGGAAUGACCCACAUUGUUCGUGAGGUCGAGAAGCCCGGAUCCAAGCUCCACAAGAAGGAAACCUGUGAGGCUGUUACCAUCAUUGAGACCCCUCCUCUGGUCAUUGUUGGUCUUGUGGCCUAUGUGAAGACCCCACGUGGCCUUCGCACUCUCAACUCUGUCUGGGCUCAGCACCUUAGCGAAGAUGUGAGGAGAAGGUUCUAUAAGAACUGGUGCAAGAGCAAGAAGAAGGCGUUCACAAAGUAUGCCCUCAAGUAUGACAGUGAUGCAGGCAAGAAGGAAAUCCAGUUGCAGCUUGAGAAAAUGAAGAAGUACGCCACUAUAGUCCGUGUUAUUGCCCAUACUCAGAUUAGGAAGAUGAAGGGCUUGAAACAGAAGAAGGCUCACCUCAUGGAGAUCCAGGUUAAUGGUGGCACCAUCGCAGACAAGGUUGACUAUGGCUACAAGUUCUUUGAGAAGGAAGUCCCAGUUGAAGCGGUCUUCCAGAAAGAUGAAAUGGUUGACAUCAUUGGUGUCACCAAGGGUAAGGGGUACGAAGGUGUCGUCACUCGCUGGGGUGUGACCCGCCUUCCCCGCAAGACCCACAGGGGUCUCCGAAAGGUUGCCUGUAUCGGUGCCUGGCAUCCUGCUAGGGUUUCCUACACUGUUGCUCGUGCUGGUCAGAAUGGUUACCACCACCGCACAGAGAUGAACAAAAAGAUUUACAAGAUGGGCAAGUCUGGACAGGAGUCUCACGAGGCCUGCACUGAGUUUGACAGGACUGAGAAGGACAUCACCCCGAUGGGUGGCUUCCCUCACUAUGGUGUGGUGAAGGGUGACUACCUCAUGAUCAAGGGCUGCUGUGUGGGCCCCAAGAAGAGAGUGGUGACCCUCCGCCAGUCCCUGUUGAAGCAGACCUCGCGGUUGGCCCUUGAGGAGAUCAAGCUCAAGUUCAUCGACACCUCAUCCAAGUUCGGGCAUGGCCGGUUCCAGACCACUGACGAGAAGCAGAAGUUCUACGGCAGGCUCAAGGCUUAG
This 1170-nucleotide ribosomal RNA is filed under the name Triticum aestivum (bread wheat). RNAcentral describes it as "partial small subunit ribosomal RNA". Lineage: Eukaryota; Viridiplantae; Streptophyta; Magnoliopsida; Poales; Poaceae. The record is from RNAcentral.